UGGGGAAUUUUGGACAAUGGGCGAAAGCCUGAUCCAGCAAUGCCGCGUGUGUGAAGAAGGCCUUCGGGUUGUAAAGCACUUUUGUCCGGAAAGAAAUCCUUGGCUCUAAUACAGUCGGGGGAUGACGGUACCGGAAGAAUAAGCACCGGCUAACUACGUGCCAGCAGCCGCGGUAAUACGUAGGGUGCAAGCGUUAAUCGGAAUUACUGGGCGUAAAGCGUGCGCAGGCGGUUUGCUAAGACCGAUGUGAAAUCCCCGGGCUCAACCUGGGAACUGCAUUGGUGACUGGCAGGCUAGAGUAUGGCAGAGGGGGGUAGAAUUCCACGUGUAGCAGUGAAAUGCGUAGAGAUGUGGAGGAAUACCGAUGGCGAAGGCAGCCCCCUGGGCCAAUACUGACGCUCAUGCACGAAAGCGUGGGGAGCAAAACAGGAUUAGAUACCCUGGUAGUCCACGCCCUAAAACGAUGUCAACUAGUUGUUGGGGGAUUCAUUUCCUUAGUAACGUAGCUAACGCGUGAAGUUGACCGCCUGGGGAGUACGGUCGCAAGAUUAAAACUCAAAUGAAUUGACGGGGUCAUAGCUGUUUCCU
Molecule: ribosomal RNA, 588 nt
Filed under: uncultured bacterium
Lineage: Bacteria
Description: partial 16S ribosomal RNA
Rfam family: Bacterial small subunit ribosomal RNA
Source: RNAcentral